AGUACCUGGAAGGCGUCUUCGUAAUCUCGCGCCGGUGGACGAUGAUGUGAAGAUGAUGAUUCCAAACACAGCGAAAAACAUCACAACGAUGAAAAAACUCAUGUUGGCCCUUUGUCUGUUGCGGAAGUUGAUGUACUUCUUCUUCCCCCCGCUGCUCGAGCCCAUGAUGUUUUAUCUGAAAAGCGAUGUGUGAUGACGUUUUGUUUAUUUAUAGCAAAUCAAGAUGAUAAUUGUGGCUCGACUACAAUUACAAAAGCGUUUUGUACACCGAAGAGUGAUCGAUUCAGUUGGAAGACUGCCUGUAAAUUGUGUGUUAAAUAAAUUUGGUGUGUUGUAGACGUUUUCA
Molecule: long non-coding RNA, 346 nt
Organism: Tribolium castaneum (red flour beetle)
Lineage: Eukaryota; Metazoa; Arthropoda; Insecta; Coleoptera; Tenebrionidae
Exons: 2
Source: RefSeq, a predicted model, not a curated record